UCCAUCUCAUGGCUGCAACCAGACUGUGU
This 29-nucleotide non-coding RNA is filed under the name Mus musculus (house mouse). Lineage: Eukaryota; Metazoa; Chordata; Mammalia; Rodentia; Muridae. The record is from RNAcentral.